This is a long non-coding RNA of Echinops telfairi (small Madagascar hedgehog), 1336 nucleotides long. RefSeq lists it as uncharacterized. Lineage: Eukaryota; Metazoa; Chordata; Mammalia; Afrosoricida; Tenrecidae. The record is from RefSeq and is a predicted model, not a curated record. The transcript is spliced from 3 exons.
GGAUCCCUAAAAGGUCACAGGGAUUUCUUCAUCCAAUUGAUUCUCCAGAUAUGGAAGGAGUGUCUACUAUGUGUCAGAAAGUGUCUAGGGCUGAGGAGACGGCAGCAACCACACCAGACAAACCGUGUGGAGUUUCCCAUCUGGUGGAGGCAGAGAGGCUGGUGAUGAGAAGACUGGGUUCCUAAUCCCGCCAGGACCGUCACGAACUCCAGACUCUAGGCAAGGCUACCACAACCUCUCAGGGUCUCUUGUCCAGUGCACCAUGAUGGAGAGCGGAGUGAUGAGGCUGAGCCUGGCCCUAAGGUUCCAGUGGACUCUCCUAACCACAGUCUACACCAGAUGGCAUCCUGUGAUCUCUGCUGGGACCUCAUGUCCUAGCCAAGUCCAAGGCUUCACCUCGUCCUUCUCCAGCCCAGGCCUCUUCAGCCAAUCUGCCAACCCCAUUGACCUUGACUUUGAGCUCCCCUAAGGCCCAGAGGCAUCUGCAACCUGGCGGGCUUGUCCCUGGAGCACAUGAGGACUUUUCCCACCACCACCCCUUCUUGUCCCCAGCAAUGUCCCAGGAUGACUUCAAUGAGCACUUACUAAGUGCUUGCCAAGAGAUCUACGUGACUGAGACAUGAGUUGCUGUGGAUUGGAUUCUCUAAAGGACCCGGACUCACACAAUGACCCAUCAUGCAGAUGAGGGACCUGGAACACCAAGAGUAAGCAAGUCUGCGAGGAAGACGCAGCACACUCCAGAUUCCAGCCCACUUCCCUGGGACCUCAGCACGCUCCUUCCAUGGGGCUCUCCAACCCCCAGCCCAUCUUCCCGUCUGUAGAAGGAGGUUCCCCACAAGGGUCUCCUAGAGUUGAUGUGAGAUUCCAGUAAGGAUCUACAAAGUCCUCAGGGCAGCACCCCCUGGGCUCUGUGAAUGCCCGUUGGUGUUUGUAAUAGGGUUGGAAUCCACACUCAGCCCUGCUGAGAAAUUCUGCUCACUGCUUUGAGCAGGAGGGGUGGAAAUAAGCUGGGAAGAAAGGGGUAUCCUUGGAAAUCUUUAGCUCCUCUUUUGAAGAGGGCGGCCGCUCCCCAGUUCCCCAGGCCCCAGCCCUCAUUGCUCUCACCAGGCAUGAGAAUCAGGGCCACACACACAAGCUGGGAGAAUUUGCUCAACUGUUGAAAGUCAGCCGGUGUGGCCUGCUAUUAAACUCCCGUGGGCGAGCCGGGUGAACGGUGGGAGCUCAUGUGAUCAGUCAUUAAUCUCCACGUGUAAUGCAAGAGCCGUACCACUUCCUUCAGCCCUAAUCUCCCAUGAGUUAGGGCCUCUUCUGUGAUUCAUAAAACAAAUCAAUCACA